Molecule: transfer RNA, 75 nt
Filed under: Bacteroidota bacterium
Lineage: Bacteria; Pseudomonadati; Bacteroidota
Description: Bacteroidetes bacterium tRNA-Ile
Rfam family: tRNA
About the family: Transfer RNA (tRNA) molecules are approximately 80 nucleotides in length. Their secondary structure includes four short double-helical elements and three loops (D, anti-codon, and T loops). Further hydrogen bonds mediate the characteristic L-shaped molecular structure. tRNAs have two regions of fundamental functional importance: the anti-codon, which is responsible for specific mRNA codon recognition, and the 3' end, to which the tRNAs corresponding amino acid is attached (by aminoacyl-tRNA synthetases). tRNAs cope with the degeneracy of the genetic code in two manners: having more than one tRNA (with a specific anti-codon) for a particular amino acid; and 'wobble' base-pairing, i.e. permitting non-standard base-pairing at the 3rd anti-codon position.
Source: RNAcentral
AGCGAUGUAACUCAGUGGUAGAGUGCUGUGCUGAUAACGCAGUGGUCGACAGUUCAAAUCUGUCCAUCGCUACCA